Oncorhynchus tshawytscha (Chinook salmon) is the source of this 1217-nucleotide long non-coding RNA. Lineage: Eukaryota; Metazoa; Chordata; Actinopteri; Salmoniformes; Salmonidae. The record is from Ensembl.
CAACGACAUGGUCAGCUCCUACAGACAGUGUUAGGCACAACGACAUGGUCAGCUCCUACAGACAGUGUUAGGUACACCACCUCGUACAACGACAUGGUCAGCUCCUACAGACAGUGUUAGGCACAUCGACAUGGUCAGCUCCUACAGACAGUGUUAGGUACAACGACAUGGUCAGCUCCUACAGACAGUGUUGGGUACACCACCUCGUACACCGACAUGGUCAGCUCCUACAGACAGUGUUAGGUACAACGACAUGGUCAGCUCCUACAGACAGUGUUAGGUACACCACCUCGUACACCGACAUGGUCAGCUCCUACAGACAGUGUUAGGUACACCACCUCGUACACCAACAUGGUCAGCUCCUACAGACAGUGUUGGGUACAAUGACAUGGUCAGCUCCUACAGACAGUGUUAGGUACAACGACAUGGUCAGCUCCUACAGACAGUGUUAGGUACACCACCUCGUACGCCGACAUAGUCAGCUCCUACAGACAGUGUUGCGUACAACGACAUGGUCAGCUCCUACAGACAGUGUUAGGUACAACGACAUGGUCAGCUCCUACAGACAGUGUUGGGUACAACGACAUGGUCAGCUCCUACAGACAGUGUUAGGUACAACGACAUGGUCAGCUCCUACAGACAGUGAGCCACCUGUCCAGGGCUUGCUAUAUAAAACAGGCAGACAGGCAUCGAGGCAUUCAGUUACUGUUCCAUUGAACGUUACACUGGACAAAACUAGUGACCUAAGAGACUCUGAGCGUGGUUUGAUCGUUGGUGCCAGGUACACCGGAUACAGUGUCUCAGAAACGUCCUCCCUCCUGGGCUUUUCACACACGACAGUGUCUAGGGUUUACCGAGAAUGAUAAGACAAACAAACAGCAUCCAGUCAGCCGCACUCCUGUGGGUGGAAAACGGAAGACUCGCGCAAGCUACCAGGCGGCCCACAAACAGCAUCCAGUCAGCCGCACUCCUGUGGGUGGAAAACGGAAGACUCGCACAAGCUACCAGACGGCCCACAAACAGCAUCCAGUCAGCCGCACUCCUGUGGGUGGAAAACGGAAGACUCGCACAAGCUACCAGGCGGCCCACAAACAGGCAAAUAACGGAGCAGUACAACAGUGGUGUUCAGAACGACAUCUGGGGAAAACACAACUCGCCCCUCCUUGUUACUGAUGGGCUUUUACAGCAGACGACCACAGCGGGUUCCACUCCCAUCA